RNAcentral lists this unclassified non-coding RNA (314 nucleotides) under plant metagenome. RNAcentral's name for it is "partial contains 5.8S ribosomal RNA, internal transcribed spacer 2, and large subunit ribosomal RNA". The stretch from base 1 to 105 matches the Rfam family "5.8S ribosomal RNA", at positions 50 to 154 of the family's 154-position model. The record is from RNAcentral.
GAAACACAAUAGUUAAUGUGAAUUGCAGAAUUCAGUAAAUUAUCGAAUCUUUAAACGCACAUUACACCUAUUAGUAUUCCUUUAGGCAUAUCUGUUUGAACGUUAUUAUAACCCUCAGCUAAUCGCUGUUUUUGAACCUGAACAAGUGAUACCGUACCAGUUUUAAAGUUGUAAGCUCUGCUAAUUGCUCUGCCUAACCAGAAUAUAAUAAGCACUACUUAUCCGGGCGAAACUGAACAGUACGGCCUAAACAAAACCUACCCACUUUUAAAAUUUGACUUCAGAUCAGACAAAAAUAUCCGCUGAACUUAAGC